This is a long non-coding RNA of Betta splendens (Siamese fighting fish), 845 nucleotides long. RefSeq lists it as uncharacterized. The transcript is spliced from 4 exons. The record is from RefSeq and is a predicted model, not a curated record. NCBI's taxonomy places the organism in Eukaryota, Metazoa, Chordata, Actinopteri, Anabantiformes, Osphronemidae.
GGGACGCGCCUGGAAGCGUUGAAAAGGAAAAAGUGAACCUGAUGCGUUUCAGCUGGAGGGACAUGGCCAGGCUUCAUCUCCACCUGUGUGACUCCUGUGGCAGACUCGGUUGGUGCAGAGGUUUGACCUCGUCACCUCGGCUGCAUGCGUCCUGGACCUCGGAACCGAAUGCAACACUCUGAUGUUGAAUUUCAGCCGUGCUCACUGGGAGAAGGUGGACGAGGCGUCUUGCUUUCAGCCGCCAGGAGUCAAAGCGAGUCUGUGGCUGAACGGCCGUAUAGAAAGCCUUCCCACUGGGUUACUGGGCCAACAGUCAACUUCUGACCCUUUCCUUCAUCAGCUUUAGCGGGACUGUUUCACUACAAUGAAAGGACGAGGAGGAGGCCACAGAGUCAGCGGGAGGAGAGGUCCAAGAUGUGGUGCCACUCGUUACAGAACCCAAGGGGUUUUUAAAGCGCUUCAGAGCAGCAGCAGCAGCAGCAAAGAGGAGGUGCCUUGUGUUUUUUUUUUUGCCGACCACAGUGUUUUUACAUGGAGACAAAUGGCUGGCAGGAAAAUAAUGAGGGAUGAGCGAGAGAGAGGGAGGCAAAUGGAGUUAGCAAACAGAAGCUGCGACGGCGUUAGCCUUUAGCCAAGAACGGGCUCUUAAAAAUUAAUAGCGUGAUCUGAAUUCAUCCCGGGCGCAUUGAAUAAUUGAGAAGUGUCUUUGAGGAAAACAGAUCGCGAGGAGUGUGACAUGGAGAGGAACCAGAAAAUGAUGGAAGAACACCAAGAAACUGCAACCUUUCGUUCUCUCUCUCUCUCUCUCUCUCUCUCUCUGGCUCGCUCGGCCUUUUCUCCAUCAC